GGAGUUUGGGCCGUGUCUCAGUCCCAAUGUGGCCGGUCACCCUCUCAGGUCGGCUAUGGAUCGUCGGCUUGGUGGGCCGUUACCUCACCAACUACCUAAUCCAACGCGGGUCCAUCGUAUGCCGAUAAAUCUUUUCACACUGCAAUCAUGCGAUGCUGUGCGCUUAUGCGGUAUUAGCAGUCGUUUCCAACUGUUGUCCCCCUGCGUACGGCA
Molecule: ribosomal RNA, 213 nt
Filed under: uncultured Ruminococcus sp.
Lineage: Bacteria; Bacillati; Bacillota; Clostridia; Eubacteriales; Oscillospiraceae
Description: partial 16S ribosomal RNA
Source: RNAcentral